Molecule: non-coding RNA, 135 nt
Organism: Triticum aestivum (bread wheat)
Lineage: Eukaryota; Viridiplantae; Streptophyta; Magnoliopsida; Poales; Poaceae
Source: Rfam
UAAAUACUCCCUCCGUCCGAAAAUACUUGUCAUCAAAAUGGAUAAAAAGAGAUGUAUCUAAAACUAAAAUACGUCUAGAUACAUUUCCUUAUAUCCAUUUUAAUGACAAGUAUUUCCGGACAGAGGGGUUAUUUG